GACAGAGGAGGCAAGCGUUGUUCGGAAUCAUUGGGCUUAAAGGGCGUGUAGGCGGCAACGCAAGUGUCGAGUGAAAUCCCAUCGCUCAACGAUGGAACGGCUCGGCAAACUGCGUGGCUUGAGGUCGGUAGAGGUGCUCGGAACUCUAGGUGGAGCGGUGAAAUGCGUAGAGAUUGGGAAGAACAUCGGUGGCGAAGGCGCUCUGCUGGACCAUAACUGACACUCACAGGACGAAAGCUAGGGGAGCGAAUGGG
Molecule: ribosomal RNA, 254 nt
Filed under: uncultured bacterium
Lineage: Bacteria
Description: partial 16S ribosomal RNA
Rfam family: Bacterial small subunit ribosomal RNA
Source: RNAcentral